Long non-coding RNA from Spodoptera frugiperda (fall armyworm), 920 nucleotides. RefSeq lists it as uncharacterized. NCBI's taxonomy places the organism in Eukaryota, Metazoa, Arthropoda, Insecta, Lepidoptera, Noctuidae. The record is from RefSeq and is a predicted model, not a curated record. The transcript is spliced from 2 exons.
UUGACAUCACAUUUGUCAUGCCGGUUGUUUGUUUGUUAUUUUAUCUUAUGUAAAAUGUAAAUAAGAUAAAAUUACAAUUUUAACAUGUUACAUUUAAAAUGAGGACGAUUCAACUCCAAUAUGAGCUAAUGGUGGAAUUUAUACAAAAAUUGGAAUAUUUGUGGGACCAGUCCAAUAUUUCUGGGAGCAGUGGGCCUACUGUAUUCCUACCACACCACUCACUGUUCCUCACGAAGCCUACCCUUCGCCAGCGCCUCCACCAAAACCACCGAUCCUCCAUCCGAGGAAGAUAGCUGGAAUCCUCCACCAGUGAAAAAACCUAAAGCGAGUUUGAUUAAAAUGUGUAUAGAUAAUGACAAGAAUGCUAUGCUAAGGAGCAUGAGAAAAGUUAUUAUUUUUUAUUAGUUGAUUAUUUUUUAUAACUUACUGUUAAUUUUAUAUUUAUUUGAAUUUUUCUGUUUUUAUGUUAUUUUAAAAUAUUAUCAAAAUAUUGUUAAUGCCAUUGUAUUUAUAAUAAUUAUUCUAACUGUGUCAAUACUGUGAAUGUGGUGCAUGUCUAUAAUUGGCAUAAGCACAUGAUCUUGUGUCUUCAUCUUGUUUUUCAUUAAUGUCUUAUAAUAAUAAAUAAAUAAAUUAUAUAUUAUUGGGAUUAAGAUUAGGAUAAAAUAGUUUUUAAGUUAGUUAAAUAAUAAUAAAUAAAAAAAUAAAAAUGUGUUUAUUGACAAAAGUUAGUACAAUAAGUUGCCGGGGCUUCCCAAAAAGUAAUCCGAAGAUACUUGUGUUGGGAUAAGCCUCACUCUUCCUUGUUAUACAAUUGUUUCGCUAAUUAUAACUACGUUAUUAGUUAUAUAUGUAUAUACAUUUUAUUAACUAUAAAAAGAGGAUUUUGUACUAAAAAGUAAUAAAACACUUGAAAUAAC